CGGUAAUUCCAGCUCCAAUAGCGUAUAUUAAAGUUGUUGCCGUUAAAAAGCUCGUAGUCGAACUUCGGCCUUUGCCGCCCGGUCCGCCCUAUGGGUGUGUACUGGAGCGGUGGAGGCUUACCUCGUGGUGAACGGCCAUGCUCUUUACUGGGUGUGGUCGGGAACCAUGAUUUUUACUUUGAAAAAAUUAGAGUGUUCAAAGCAGGCUUACGCCCGAAUACAUUAGCAUGGAAUAAUAAAAUAGGACGUGCGGUUCUAUUUUGUUGGUUUCUAGAAUCGCCGUAAUGAUUAAUAGGGAUAGUUGGGGGCAUUCGUAUUCAAUUGCUAGAGGUGAAAUUCUUGGAUUUAUUGAAGACGAACUACUGCGAAAGCAUUUGCCAAGGAUGUUUUCAUUGAUCAAGAACGAAGGUUAGGGGAUCGAAAACGAUCAGAUACCGUUGUAGUCUUAACAGUAAACGAUGCCGACUAGGGAUCGGACGAGGAUUUUUAAUGACUCGUUCGGCACCUGAAGAGAAAUCUUUAAGUCUAGGUUCGGGGGGGAGUAUGGUCGCAAGGCUGAAACUUAAAGGAAUUGACGGAAGGGCACCACCAGGUGUGGAGCCUGCGGCUUAAUUUGACUCAACACGGGGAAACUCACCAGGUCCAGACACGACAAGGAUUGACAGAUUGAUAGCUCUUUCUUGAUUUCGUGGUUGGUGGUGCAUGGCCGUUCUUAGUUGGUGGAGUGAUUUGUCUGGUUAAUUCCGAUAGCGAACGAGACCUUAACCUGCUAAAUAGCCCGGCCGACUUUGGUUGGUCGCUGGCUUCUUAGAGGGACUAUCAGCGUUUAGCUGAUGGAAGUUUGAGGCAAUAACAGGUCUGUGAUGCCCUUAGAUGUUCUGGGCCGCACGCGCGCUACACUGACCGAACCAGCGAGUUUAUCACCUUGGCCGGAAGGCCUGGGCAAUCUUGUGAAACUCGGUCGUGAUGGGGAUAGAGCAUUGCAAUUAUUGCUCUUCAACGAGGAAUACCUAGUAAGCGUGAGUCAUCAGCUCGCGUUGAAUUCGUCCCUGCCCUUUGUACACACCGCCCGUCGCUACUACCGAUUGAAUGGCUUAGUGAGGUCUCCGGAUUGGCUUCUGGGAGCCGGCAACGGCACCUAGUCGCUGAGGAGUUGAACGAACUUGGUCAUUUAGAGGAAGUAAAAGUCGUAACAAGGUAGCCG
RNAcentral lists this ribosomal RNA (1204 nucleotides) under uncultured eukaryote. RNAcentral's name for it is "SSU rRNA". It matches the Rfam family "Eukaryotic small subunit ribosomal RNA", at positions 577 to 1805 of the family's 1831-position model. The record is from RNAcentral.